Molecule: ribosomal RNA, 1352 nt
Filed under: uncultured bacterium
Lineage: Bacteria
Description: bacterial SSU rRNA
Rfam family: Bacterial small subunit ribosomal RNA
Source: RNAcentral
AUUGAACGCUGGCGGCAUGCCUUACACAUGCAAGUCGAACGGCAGCACGGAGCUUGCUCUGGUGGCGAGUGGCGAACGGGUGAGUAAUAUAUCGGAACGUACCCUAGAGUGGGGGAUAACGUAGCGAAAGUUACGCUAAUACCGCAUACGAUCUAAGGAUGAAAGUGGGGGAUCGCAAGACCUCAUGCUCGUGGAGCGGCCGAUAUCUGAUUAGCUAGUUGGUAGGGUAAAAGCCUACCAAGGCAUCGAUCAGUAGCUGGUCUGAGAGGACGACCAGCCACACUGGAACUGAGACACGGUCCAGACUCCUACGGGAGGCAGCAGUGGGGAAUUUUGGACAAUGGGCGAAAGCCUGAUCCAGCAAUGCCGCGUGAGUGAAGAAGGCCUUCGGGUUGUAAAGCUCUUUUGUCAGGGAAGAAACGGUGGGAGCUAAUAUCUCUUGCUAAUGACGGUACCUGAAGAAUAAGCACCGGCUAACUACGUGCCAGCAGCCGCGGUAAUACGUAGGGUGCAAGCGUUAAUCGGAAUUACUGGGCGUAAAGCGUGCGCAGGCGGUUUUGUAAGUCUGAUGUGAAAUCCCCGGGCUCAACCUGGGAAUUGCAUUGGAGACUGCAAGGCUAGAAUCUGGCAGAGGGGGGUAGAAUUCCACGUGUAGCAGUGAAAUGCGUAGAUAUGUGGAGGAACACCGAUGGCGAAGGCAGCCCCCUGGGUCAAGAUUGACGCUCAUGCACGAAAGCGUGGGGAGCAAACAGGAUUAGAUACCCUGGUAGUCCACGCCCUAAACGAUGUCUACUAGUUGUCGGGUCUUAAUUGACUUGGUAACGCAGCUAACGCGUGAAGUAGACCGCCUGGGGAGUACGGUCGCAAGAUUAAAACUCAAAGGAAUUGACGGGGACCCGCGCAAGCGGUGGAUGAUGUGGAUUAAUUCGAUGCAACGCGAAAAACCUUACCUACCCUUGACAUGGCUGGAAUCCUUGAGAGAUCAGGGAGUGCUCGAAAGAGAACCAGUACACAGGUGCUGCAUGGCUGUCGUCAGCUCGUGUCGUGAGAUGUUGGGUUAAGUCCCGCAACGAGCGCAACCCUUGUCAUUAGUUGCUACGAAAGGGCACUCUAAUGAGACUGCCGGUGACAAACCGGAGGAAGGUGGGGAUGACGUCAAGUCCUCAUGGCCCUUAUGGGUAGGGCUUCACACGUCAUACAAUGGUACAUACAGAGCGCCGCCAACCCGCGAGGGGGAGCUAAUCGCAGAAAGUGUAUCGUAGUCCGGAUUGUAGUCUGCAACUCGACUGCAUGAAGUUGGAAUCGCUAGUAAUCGCGGAUCAGCAUGUCGCGGUGAAUACGUUCCCGGAUCU